UGAGAUGAAGCACUGUAGCUCA
Molecule: non-coding RNA, 22 nt
Filed under: Ophiophagus hannah (king cobra)
Lineage: Eukaryota; Metazoa; Chordata; Lepidosauria; Squamata; Elapidae
Also listed under: 11 other names
Gene: oha-miR-143-3p
Source: miRBase by way of RNAcentral